GGUGGAGUUACAGGCAGGGAGGCGAGGCUGGCAGUGUUACCUAGAGGAGCAUCCUUGGGACCACAGAGCUGGCGGAGAAGAGAGAUGAAAGCACCCUCCAGAGACUGGAGCCCAAGCCAGCUGCUGAGAGAAAUAGCGCGCUCAAGAGAAGAAAGAUUGAGUCUCUGGACCUGUUCACUGCAAACAAGAAAGUGAAACUAUGAGGAGCUGGUCUGAGAAUGAGAUGCGGUCCUGGUAUUAAUAUUAGAAAGAUCGGCGGGGUGGGGAGCUCUCUGUUGUGCUGAGCUGACCUGAGGAAAGGGCACCUUUCUCACUUUAUGCUUCUCCCAAUCCACAAGACUCCUCCUCACCUCUACUGAUCCGGUGGCGCCUAAAAUGUUCACUUUGCCUGAUUUUAAACCAAGAAAAAGGAACAUAAACACCUGUCGACAUGGUUGUGUUUAGGACCUGUUUAAGGCAAGGGCACAAACAAGGGUUGUAACUUGGGGACACUGAGGCUUGAUGGGCUUCCAAUGAGAGUUAGCCGGAAGCUGCGUCAUGCUGUUUCCUUGGGACAUGAGCUUCUGUGUGGAGUCACCUGGAUUUUGAAGGGUUUUGUGUCGUUUAACUGCUCAUCAGAGCUCUCCACACACUGAAACCUCAAUUCUCUUGUUGAGACACUAGAAGUCUGCGGGUGCCCCUCACACAGGAGAAAUGCAAGCUGCCCCCUUGAAAAACGUCCUCAGAGUUGCAACCACAGGGGCCAAGUCAA
RNAcentral lists this long non-coding RNA (751 nucleotides) under Homo sapiens (human). RNAcentral's name for it is "HSALNT0253053". Lineage: Eukaryota; Metazoa; Chordata; Mammalia; Primates; Hominidae. The record is from RNAcentral.